This 3006-nucleotide ribosomal RNA is filed under the name Salmonella enterica subsp. enterica serovar Weltevreden. RNAcentral's name for it is "bacterial LSU rRNA". It matches the Rfam family "Bacterial large subunit ribosomal RNA". The record is from RNAcentral. Lineage: Bacteria; Pseudomonadati; Pseudomonadota; Gammaproteobacteria; Enterobacterales; Enterobacteriaceae.
UUAAGCGACUAAGCGUACACGGUGGAUGCCCUGGCAGUCAGAGGCGAUGAAGGGCGUGCUAAUCUGCGAUAAGCGCCGGUAAGGUGAUAUGAACCGUUAUAACCGGCGAUACCCGAAUGGGGAAACCCAGUGUGACUCGUCACACUAUCAUUAACUGAAUCCAUAGGUUAAUGAGGCGAACCGGGGGAACUGAAACAUCUAAGUACCCCGAGGAAAAGAAAUCAACCGAGAUUCCCCCAGUAGCGGCGAGCGAACGGGGAGGAGCCCAGAGCCUGAAUCAGCAUGUGUGUUAGUGGAAGCGUCUGGAAAGGCGCGCGAUACAGGGUGACAGCCCCGUACACAAAAGCGCAUGUGCUGUGAGCUCGAUGAGUAGGGCGGGACACGUGGUAUCCUGUCUGAAUAUGGGGGGACCAUCCUCCAAGGCUAAAUACUCCUGACUGACCGAUAGUGAACCAGUACCGUGAGGGAAAGGCGAAAAGAACCCCGGCGAGGGGAGUGAAAAAGAACCUGAAACCGUGUACGUACAAGCAGUGGGAGCCCCACCACCAAAGCAUUCUCUGGUGUUGAAGGCCCUGCAAAGCAGCAUCGCGGUGGCGGAGCGUCGUUUGCGACGCCCAACACACAAAACAAGCGGUGAGUGCUUUGGGGUGGGGUGACUGCGUACCUUUUGUAUAAUGGGUCAGCGACUUAUAUUCUGUAGCAAGGUUAACCGUAUAGGGGAGCCGGAGGGAAACCGAGUCUUAACCGGGCGUUAAGUUGCAGGGUAUAGACCCGAAACCCGGUGAUCUAGCCAUGGGCAGGUUGAAGGUUGGGUAACACUAACUGGAGGACCGAACCGACUAAUGUUGAAAAAUUAGCGGAUGACCUGUGGCUGGGGGUGAAAGGCCAAUCAAACCGGGAGAUAGCUGGUUCUCCCCGAAAGCUAUUUAGGUAGCGCCUCGUGAAUUCAUCUCCGGGGGUAGAGCACUGUUUCGGCUAGGGGGCCAUCCCGGCUUACCAACCCGAUGCAAACUGCGAAUACCGGAGAAUGUUAUCACGGGAGACACACGGCGGGUGCUAACGUCCGUCGUGAAGAGGGAAACAACCCAGACCGCCAGCUAAGGUCCCAAAGUCAUGGUUAAGUGGGAAACGAUGUGGGAAGGCCCAGACAGCCAGGAUGUUGGCUUAGAAGCAGCCAUCAUUUAAAGAAAGCGUAAUAGCUCACUGGUCGAGUCGGCCUGCGCGGAAGAUGUAACGGGGCUAAACCAUGCACCGAAGCUGCGGCAGCGACGCUUAUGCGUUGUUGGGUAGGGGAGCGUUCUGUAAGCCUGUGAAGGUGGCCUGUGAGGGUUGCUGGAGGUAUCAGAAGUGCGAAUGCUGACAUAAGUAACGAUAAAGCGGGUGAAAAGCCCGCUCGCCGGAAGACCAAGGGUUCCUGUCCAACGUUAAUCGGGGCAGGGUGAGUCGACCCCUAAGGCGAGGCCGAAAGGCGUAGUCGAUGGGAAACGGGUUAAUAUUCCCGUACUUGGUGUUACUGCGAAGGGGGGACGGAGAAGGCUAUGUUGGCCGGGCGACGGUUGUCCCGGUUUAAGCGUGUAGGUGUGUGUUCCAGGUAAAUCCGGUUCACUUUAACACUGAGGCGUGAUGACGAGGCACUACGGUGCUGAAGCAACAAAUGCCCUGCUUCCAGGAAAAGCCUCUAAGCAUCAGGUAACAUCAAAUCGUACCCCAAACCGACACAGGUGGUCAGGUAGAGAAUACCAAGGCGCUUGAGAGAACUCGGGUGAAGGAACUAGGCAAAAUGGUGCCGUAACUUCGGGAGAAGGCACGCUGACANGUAGGUGAAGUGAUUUACUCAUGGAGCUGAAGUCAGUCGAAGAUACCAGCUGGCUGCAACUGUUUAUUAAAAACACAGCACUGUGCAAACACGAAAGUGGACGUAUACGGUGUGACGCCUGCCCGGUGCCGGAAGGUUAAUUGAUGGGGUCAGCGCAAGCGAAGCUCCUGAUCGAAGCCCCGGUAAACGGCGGCCGUAACUAUAACGGUCCUAAGGUAGCGAAAUUCCUUGUCGGGUAAGUUCCGACCUGCACGAAUGGCGUAAUGAUGGCCAGGCUGUCUCCACCCGAGACUCAGUGAAAUUGAACUCGCUGUGAAGAUGCAGUGUACCCGCGGCAAGACGGAAAGACCCCGUGAACCUUUACUAUAGCUUGACACUGAACAUUGAGCCUUGAUGUGUAGGAUAGGUGGGAGGCUUUGAAGUGUGGACGCCAGUCUGCAUGGAGCCGACCUUGAAAUACCACCCUUUAAUGUUUGAUGUUCUAACGUGGACCCGUGAUCCGGGUUGCGGACAGUGUCUGGUGGGUAGUUUGACUGGGGCGGUCUCCUCCUAAAGAGUAACGGAGGAGCACGAAGGUUGGCUAAUCCUGGUCGGACAUCAGGAGGUUAGUGCAAUGGCAUAAGCCAGCUUGACUGCGAGCGUGACGGCGCGAGCAGGUGCGAAAGCAGGUCAUAGUGAUCCGGUGGUUCUGAAUGGAAGGGCCAUCGCUCAACGGAUAAAAGGUACUCCGGGGAUAACAGGCUGAUACCGCCCAAGAGUUCAUAUCGACGGCGGUGUUUGGCACCUCGAUGUCGGCUCAUCACAUCCUGGGGCUGAAGUAGGUCCCAAGGGUAUGGCUGUUCGCCAUUUAAAGUGGUACGCGAGCUGGGUUUAGAACGUCGUGAGACAGUUCGGUCCCUAUCUGCCGUGGGCGCUGGAGAACUGAGGGGGGCUGCUCCUAGUACGAGAGGACCGGAGUGGACGCAUCACUGGUGUUCGGGUUGUCAUGCCAAUGGCACUGCCCGGUAGCUAAAUGCGGAAGAGAUAAGUGCUGAAAGCAUCUAAGCACGAAACUUGCCCCGAGAUGAGUUCUCCCUGAGACUUUAGGUCUCCUGAAGGAACGUUGAAGACGACGACGUUGAUAGGCCGGGUGUGUAAGCGCAGCGAUGCGUUGAGCUAACCGGUACUAAUGAACCGUGAGGCUUAACCUU